RNAcentral lists this ribosomal RNA (253 nucleotides) under uncultured bacterium. Its description in RNAcentral is "partial 16S ribosomal RNA". It matches the Rfam family "Bacterial small subunit ribosomal RNA", at positions 524 to 776 of the family's 1533-position model. The record is from RNAcentral.
UACAGAGGUCUCAAGCGUUGUUCGGAAUCACUGGGCGUAAAGGGUGCGUAGGCCGCACGGUAAGUCAGAGGUGAAAUCCCGGAGCUCAACUUCGGAAUUGCCUCCGAUACUGCCGUGCUUGAGGACUGGAGAGGAGUCUGGAAUUCACAGUGGAGCAGUGAAAUGCGUAGAUAUUGUGAGGAAGACCAGUGGCGAAGGCGGGUCUCUGGACAGUUCCUGACGCUGAGGCACGAAGGUCAGGGGAGCAAACGGG